CAGUCGCCACGGGAAUACGAAGGGGGCUAGCGUUGUUCGGAAUUACUGGGCGUAAAGCGCACGUAGGCGGAUAUUUAAGUCAGGGGUGAAAUCCCAGAGCUCAACUCUGGAACUGCCUUUGAUACUGGGUAUCUUGAGUAUGGAAGAGGUGAGUGGAAUUCCGAGUGUAGAGGUGAAAUUCGUAGAUAUUCGGAGGAACACCAGUGGCGAAGGCGGCUCACUGGUCCAUUACUGACGCUGAGGUGCGAAAGCGUGGGGAGCAAACAGGAUUAGAUACCCCAGUAGUCCCUGUCUCUUAUAC
Molecule: ribosomal RNA, 301 nt
Filed under: uncultured bacterium
Lineage: Bacteria
Description: partial 16S ribosomal RNA
Rfam family: Bacterial small subunit ribosomal RNA
Source: RNAcentral